CGCAACGUCGCUCAACACAUCGCAUGCAGGAUGCCCGACUAACCCCUCGCUGCCUGGUAUUUGAGUUGUCAGGGAAAGCAUCCUAGCGUCGCAGCACCUUCCUGAUCCUCCAACGCCUGAAUAGAUAUAUUGGCGGUAUUCUUAGAUGAUGGAUCCGUCAUACAUGGUGUUUCGGACAUUUAUGAAGUGACCUGUAUAUCCGCAAUCUUAUGUACAGUAUUUCCUACAUCAAUUGCAGAUAUCCCUGACCCUCCCCUGGUAAUGUGAACCAGCCCACAGGCUUUGAUCCCAUUUCGCCCGUUGAAGACAAAGACAUACCAAUUUCAGCCCACAACACAAUAUCUUCAGCUUCACAGGACAACCUAGCUCUAGAAGCAGUCCGGAAGGUCAGAUCUUCACCGGAGCAAUGCAGUAUACCUGCUGGUUUCAGAACAGCUGGACGGGAGCAAUCAUGGCAA
RNAcentral lists this small RNA (458 nucleotides) under Histoplasma ohiense. RNAcentral describes it as "hypothetical lncRNA". Lineage: Eukaryota; Fungi; Ascomycota; Eurotiomycetes; Onygenales; Ajellomycetaceae. The record is from RNAcentral.